This 261-nucleotide ribosomal RNA is filed under the name uncultured archaeon. RNAcentral's name for it is "partial 16S ribosomal RNA". It matches the Rfam family "Archaeal small subunit ribosomal RNA", at positions 748 to 1009 of the family's 1478-position model. The record is from RNAcentral.
UAGCCGUAAACGAUACUCGCUAGGUGUCGGCCACGGUGCGACCGUUGUCGGUGCCGUAGGGAAGCCGUGAAGCGAGCCACCUGGGAAGUACGGCCGCAAGGCUGAAACUUAAAGGAAUUGGCGGGGGAGCACAACAACGGGUGGAGCUUGCGGUUUAAUUGGACUCAACGCCGGGAAGCUCACCGGAUAAGACAGCGGAAUGAUUGCCGGGCUGAAGACUCUGCAUGACCAGCUGAGAGGUGGUGCAUGGCGUAGUCGUGU